GAGGAAGGUGGGGAUGACGUCAAGUCCUCAUGGCCCUUACGGGCUGGGCUACACACGUGCUACAAUGGUGGUGACAGUGGGCAGCGAGACAGCGAUGUCGAGCUAAUCUCCAAAAGCCAUCUCAGUUCGGAUUGCACUCUGCAACUCGAGUGCAUGAAGUUGGAAUCGCUAGUAAUCGCAGAUCAGCAUGCUGCGGUGAAUACGUUCCCGGGCCUUGUACACACCGCCCGUCACACCAUGGGAGUUGGUUUUACCCGA
RNAcentral lists this ribosomal RNA (258 nucleotides) under bacterium YWTT. RNAcentral describes it as "partial 16S ribosomal RNA". It matches the Rfam family "Bacterial small subunit ribosomal RNA", at positions 1166 to 1424 of the family's 1533-position model. The record is from RNAcentral.